This 826-nucleotide long non-coding RNA is filed under the name Bos taurus (domestic cattle). RNAcentral describes it as "long non-coding RNA NONBTAT013676". The record is from RNAcentral. Lineage: Eukaryota; Metazoa; Chordata; Mammalia; Artiodactyla; Bovidae.
CUCCUCCCAUAAUAUGUCUAUAUAAAAUAAUUGCUUUGUAAUUACCGACAUGAUUAAAUGUUAAAUAAAUGCAAAAUUCUUAGUUUGGCAGCCUUUAUAUGUCCAGAAGGCUGUUUCAUUAUUUCUUUUUAAGAACUUCACAGUAUAUUGCUUAAUAUUUUCACUGCACACAUAGAUUUCACCAUGCCAUGUUAAUAAAUGUUGCAUAAGGAGCCACCUGCUAUAAUGGCUCUUGAUUAUACUUUCAAAACUACAGAUAGACCAAUGAAAAAAAUAGACUCAUCAUGGUUGGUUUUGAAAGUGGCAAUAUGUCGGCUGCUAAUACCAACACUGUAGACUGCUGGAUGCCAACCAAGUCAAGCAACUCCAUUAGACUGUAUCAGGUUUUCUUUUGCUUCCAGCCUGAAUGAGAGUUUAGUCUAUAAUAACUUCUCAUCUAAAAAAUGGCAAACAUUUUCACAUCCACAUCAGAAUAUUUUUCGCAUUUUUCUUUGCUCAAAGAGAAUUCUGUACCACCUUUUGUUAUAUUUUUAUAUCCAGUAGUAAUCUUUAUUAGCUAACAAACAUUUUCACAAAAAUUUUAUUUAAAAAAUGAAAACACCCAGUGUUGUUCUAAGGGGAGCUUGUACUUUUAGAUCUCAUCUUGAGGUAUUUCUCUAAGGAAUCUGACUGCUUAGAAUUUGCCAACUAGAGGAGUAAGUGCUAUUAAACUUUAUACUGAGAAAAUGUCAAAAACAUAUCCUUUUCACAUUGAAAUGUUCCUGUAAAAUUUGGAGACCGAUAUACAGAGGUAUACAUAUCUUCAGUGUAAAAGUUCCUGCUACUC